This 1260-nucleotide ribosomal RNA is filed under the name metagenome. RNAcentral describes it as "SSU rRNA". It matches the Rfam family "Eukaryotic small subunit ribosomal RNA", at positions 582 to 1823 of the family's 1831-position model. The record is from RNAcentral.
AUUCCAGCUCCAAUAGGAUAUAUCAAAGUUGUUGCAGUUAAAAAGCUCGUAGUUGAAGUUUUGGAUAGUAGUCUUUGUCUUUUCCGGCUUGGGGAGCAAUCCUCUUCGGGAAGGGCACUCUCUCCACAUUGUGGACCAUCCCUUUUUGUUUUUGCGAUUUUUUUCGCGAAAGCAGAAAGGGCCACUCCGUCACUGAGAGCAAAUUGGAGUGCUCAAAGCAGGCUUUACAGCUUUGAACAUAUUAGCUUGGAAUGACAAGAUACGACUCUGGUCGGUUUAUUUUGUUGGUUAUUUAGACUAGAGUAAUGAUUAACAGGAACAGUAGCGGGGGUACUCGUAUUGAAAGGUCAGAGGUGAAAUUCUUGGAUUCUUUCAAGACGAACGACUGCGAAAGCAUUUACCAAGGAUGUUUUCAUUAAUCAAGAACGAAAGCCUGGGGAUCGAAGAUGAUUAGAUACCAUCGUAGUCCAACGCCAUAAACGAUGCCGACUCGGGAUUGGUAGGUGUUCUUUUUAAAACAUGAACCCUAUCAGCACCGUAUGAGAAAUCAAAGUCUUUGGGUUCCGGGGGGAGUAUAGUCGCAAGGAAGAAACUUAAAGGAAUUGACGGAAGGGCACACCAGAGGUGGAGCCUGCGGUUUAAUUUGACUCAACACGGGAAAACUUACCAGGUCCAGACAUGAUGAGGAUUGACAGUUUGAAAGCACUUUCUUGAUUUCAUGGGUGGUGGUGCAUGGCCGUUCUUAGUUGGUGGAGUGAUUUGUCUGGUUGAUUCCGAUAACGAACGAGACGGGGGGAGUUUACUAGUUUGCAUAAUCUAAUUCGCGUUAGAUGGAACUUCUUUACUCGACAACUCGGUUUUACCGAGAGGAAGCGCCCCGCAAUAACAGGUCUGUGAUGCCCUUAGAUGUUCUGGGCUACACGCGCGCUACAAUGACGAGUUCAACGAGUUUUUUAUUCCUUGUCCGGAAGGAUGUGGGUAAUCUUUUCAAUGCUCGUCGUGAUGGGGCUAGAUUUUUGCAAUUAUUAAUCUUCAACGAGGAAUCUCUAGUAUGUGCAGUUCAUCAGACUGCGCAGAAUGCGUCCCUGCCCUUUGUACACACCGCCCGUCGCACCUACCGAUUGGACGAUCCGGCAAGAUGUUUGGAGUGUUGUGUUUGUGUGAUUUCGAUCAUGUGAACAUGACGCAAAGCUCUUCAUACCUUAUCGUCUAGAGGAAGGUGAAGUCGUAACAAGGUCUCCGUAGGUGAACCUGCGGAGG